AGGGUGCAGGGCGGAUGCCUUGGCACUAGGAGCCGAUGAAGGACGUGAUAAGCUGCGAUAAGCUUCGGGGAGUUGCACGUAAACUUUGAUCCGAAGAUUUCCGAAUGAGGAAACUCACUUAGAGUAAUGUCUAAGUAUCAUUAAGUGAAUACAUAGCUUAAUGAGGGGAACUCAGGGAACUGAAACAUCUAAGUACCUGAAGGAAGAGAAAGAAAUUCGAUUCCGUAAGUAGCGGCGAGCGAACGCGGAUUAGCCCAAACCAAUAAAGUUUUCUUUGUUGGGGUUGCGGACAUAUCAUAACGAAGAGGUAUCGUAAUUGAAGAGGUUUGGAAAGACCCACCACAGAAGGUAAUAGUCCUGUAUGUUAAACGAGAAGACUUCAGAUAUGAUCCAGAGUACCACGGGACACGUGAAACCCUGUGGGAAGCAGGAGGGACCACCCUCCAAGGCUAAAUACUACCUAGUGACCGAUAGCGUAUAGUACCGUGAGGGAAAGGUGAAAAGAACCCCGGGAGGGGAGUGAAAUAGAACCUGAAACCCUGCACUUACAAGCUGUGGAAGCACAUUUCUUGUGUGACCGCGUACUUUUUGUAGAACGGGCCAACGAGUUACGUUAAGUAGCAAGGUUAAGCACUUAAGGUGCGGAGCCGUAGCGAAAGCGAGUUUUAACUGAGCGUUCAGUUACUUGACGUAGACCCGAAACCGGGCGACCUACCCAUGAGCAGGAUGAAGCGAAAGUAAAAUUUCGUGGAGGUCCGAACCCACGAGCGUUGAAAAGCUCGGGGAUGACUUGUGGGUAGCGGUGAAAUUCCAAUCGAGCCCGGAGAUAGCUGGUUCUCCCCGAAAUAGCUUUAGGGCUAGCCUCAAGGUGAGAGAUACGGAGGUAGAGCACUGAAUGUCCUAGGGGGUAUUGCACCUACCGAAGACUAUCAAACUCCGAAUGCCGUCAUCUUAUACUUGGGAGUCAGACUGUGGGUGAUAAGAUUCAUAGUCGAAAGGGCAACAGCCCAGAUCGUCAGCUAAGGUCCCUAAAUGUAAGUUAAGUGGUAAAGGAUGUGGGAUUGCACAGACAACCAGGAUGUUGGCUUAGAAGCAGCCACUCAUUCAAAGAGUGCGUAAUAGCUCACUGGUCGAGUGAUCCUGCGCCGAAGAUUUCCGGGGCUAAAACUUACUACCGAAGCUACGGCAUCAGUAAUGAUGGGUAGGGGAGCUUCCCAUACGGGUUGAAGCAUGACCGUAAGGACAUGUGGACAGUAUGGGAGUGAGAAUGUUGGCAUGAGUAGCGAGAUGUGGGUGAGAAUCCCACAGGCCGUAAACCCAAGGUUUCCAGGGGAAGGUUCGUCCGCCCUGGGUUAGUCGGGACCUAAGCUGAGGCUGAAAGGCGUAGGUGAUGGACAACAGGUUGAUAUUCCUGUACUACCGAUAACCGUUUGAGAGAAGGGAUGACACAGUAGGAUAAGCUAAGCACACUGUUGGUUAUGUGUGCCCAAGCAUUGAGGCAGUCAAAGUAGGCAAAUCCGCUUUGAUAAUGCUGGGAUGUGAUGGGGAGCGAAAUUUAGUAGCGAAGUAGCUGAUUUCACACUGUCAAGAAAAGUCUCUAUCGAGGUUAAAGGUACCCGUACCGCAAACCGACACAGGUGGGUGAGGAGAGUAUCCUAAGGCCAGCGAGAGAACUGUUGUUAAGGAACUCGGCAAAAUGACCCCGUAACUUAGGGAUAAGGGGUGCCACCAUCAGGUGGCCGCAGAGAAUAGGCCCAAGCGACUGUUUACCAAAAACAUAGGUUUCUGCUAAGUCGCAAGACGAUGUAUAGGAGCUGACGCCUGCCCGGUGCUGGAAGGUUAAGGGGAUCUGUUAGAGCAAUCGAAGCAGUGAACUUAAGCCCCAGUAAACGGCGGCCGUAACUAUAACGGUCCUAAGGUAGCGAAAUUCCUUGUCGGGUAAGUUCCGACCCGCACGAAAGGCGUAACGAUUUGGGCACUGUCUCAACAACAGACUCGGUGAAAUUGUAAUUCCGGUGAAGAUGCCGGAUACCUGCGACAGGACGGAAAGACCCCAUGGAGCUUUACUGUAGCUUGACAUUGGGUCUUGGUACUACAUGUACAGGAUAGGUGGGAGGCUUUGAAACCAGGACGCCAGUUUUGGCGGAGCCAUCCUUGGGAUACCACCCUUGUAGUACUGGGACUCUAACCAUAGGCCAUGAAUCUGGUCUUGGGACACUGUCAGGUGGGCAGUUUGACUGGGGCGGUCGCCUCCCAAAAGGUAACGGAGGCGCUCAAAGGUUCUCUCAGUACGGUCGGAAAUCGUACGUAGAGUGUAAAGGCAAAAGAGAGCUUGAUUGCAAGACAUACAGGUCGAGCAAGGAUGAAAAUCGGACUUAGUGAUCCGGUGGUUCUGCGUGGAAGGGCCAUCGCUCAACGGAUAAAAGCUACCCUGGGGAUAACAGGCUUAUCUCCCCCAAGAGUCCACAUCGACGGGGAGGUUUGGCACCUCGAUGUCGGCUCAUCACAUCCUGGGGCUGUAGUAGGUCCCAAGGGUUGGGCUGUUCGCCCAUUAAAGUGGUACGCGAGCUGGGUUCAGAACGUCGUGAGACAGUUCGGUCCCUAUCCGUCGCAGGCGUAGGAAAUUUGAGAAGACCUGUCCUUAGUACGAGAGGACCGGGAUGGACGUACCUCUGGUGUACCAGUUGUUCUGCCAAGGGCAUGGCUGGGUAGCUAUGUACGGAAUGGAUAAGCGCUGAAAGCAUCUAAGCGCGAAGCCAACUUCAAGAUAAGAUUUCCCACCGCAAGGGUAAGACCCCAGAAAGACUAUCUGGUUGA
RNAcentral lists this ribosomal RNA (2817 nucleotides) under Clostridioides difficile M120. Its description in RNAcentral is "bacterial LSU rRNA". It matches the Rfam family "Bacterial large subunit ribosomal RNA". Lineage: Bacteria; Bacillati; Bacillota; Clostridia; Peptostreptococcales; Peptostreptococcaceae. The record is from RNAcentral.